UCCUGGGCUACACACGCGCUACAAUGGUCGGUACAAUAGGCAGCCAAGCCGUAAGGCGGAGCUAAUCCUAAAAACCGAUCUCAGUUCGGAUUGUGGGCUGCAACUCGCCCACAUGAAGCCGGAAUCGCUAGUAAUCGUGGAUCAGCAUGCCACGGUGAAUACGUUCCCGGGCCUU
Molecule: ribosomal RNA, 175 nt
Filed under: uncultured candidate division WS6 bacterium
Lineage: Bacteria
Description: partial 16S ribosomal RNA
Rfam family: Bacterial small subunit ribosomal RNA
Source: RNAcentral